RNAcentral lists this ribosomal RNA (468 nucleotides) under uncultured bacterium. Its description in RNAcentral is "bacterial SSU rRNA". It matches the Rfam family "Bacterial small subunit ribosomal RNA", at positions 355 to 825 of the family's 1533-position model. The record is from RNAcentral.
UGAGGAAUUUUGGACAAUGGGGGAAACCCUGAUCCAGCGACGCCGCGUGAGGGAUGAAGGUCUUCGGAUUGUAAACCUCUUUUAUUCGGGAAUAAGAAAUCUAUGGAAACAUAGAGAGUGAAUGUACCGAAUGAAUAAGCCACGGCUAACUUCGUGCCAGCAGCCGCGGUAAUACGAAGGUGGCAAGCGUUACUCGGAAUUACUAGGCGUAAAGGGCAGGUAGGUGGUUUGAUAAGUCUGUUGUGAAAGCUCCUGGCUUAACUGGGAGAGGUCAACAGAAACUAUCAGGCUUGAGUAUGGGAGAGGGUACUGGAAUUCCCGGUGUAGCGGUGAAAUGCGCAGAGAUCGGGAGGAACACCUAUGGCGAAAGCAGGUACCUGGACCAUUACUGACACUCAGCUGCGAAAGCUAGGGGAGCAAACAGGAUUAGAUACCCCCGUAGUCCCUGAGCGGGCUGGCAAGGCGCAU